UGCGCCUUGCCAGCCCGCUCAGAAACUUAAAGGAAUUGACGGGGGCCCGCACAAAGCGGAGGAACAUGUGGUUUAAUUCGAUGAUACGCGAGGAACCUUACCUGGGCUAGAACGCAUUCGGAAUCAGGCCGAAAGGCCUGCGCCAGCGAUGGCCGCUUGCGAGGUGCUGCAUGGUUGUCGUCAGCUCGUGCCGUGAGGUGUCGGGUUAAGUCCCAUAACGAGCGCAACCCCUACUGCUAGUUGCCAGCGGGUCAUGCCGGGGACUCUAGCGGAACUGCCAGCGUAAGCUGCGAGGAAGGUGGGGAUGACGUCAAAUCAGCACGGCCCUUACGUCCAGGGCUACACACGUGUUACAAUGGCCGGUACAGAGGGCAGCCACCCCGCGAGGGGGCGCGAAUCCCGAAAGCCGGUCCCAGUUCGGAUCGGAGUCUGCAACCCGACUCCGUGAAGCUGGAUUCGCUAGUAAUCGCGCAUCAGCCACGGCGCGGUGAAUACGUUCCCGGGCCUU
This 508-nucleotide ribosomal RNA is filed under the name uncultured Rikenellaceae bacterium. Its description in RNAcentral is "bacterial SSU rRNA". It matches the Rfam family "Bacterial small subunit ribosomal RNA", at positions 903 to 1382 of the family's 1533-position model. Lineage: Bacteria; Pseudomonadati; Bacteroidota; Bacteroidia; Bacteroidales; Rikenellaceae. The record is from RNAcentral.